CGGAACUGGUGAGCUAGCUCAAACGCUCGUCCUCAAAAUGCGCUCUCAGGGACCCUUUUUCUGAAGAAAUUACCAGUAUUAUUGGUUAUCAGUUGGAUUUUCUUCAUCGUGAACUAUGAAGGCUAGAAUGAGAACAUGUUCCUGUGUUAAGCAACCUCAUACAGAUUCAGAUUCAGUUUUAUAU
Molecule: long non-coding RNA, 184 nt
Organism: Daphnia pulicaria
Lineage: Eukaryota; Metazoa; Arthropoda; Branchiopoda; Diplostraca; Daphniidae
Exons: 3
Source: RefSeq, a predicted model, not a curated record